GACAACCGGUUUUGAAUAGAUGUGUCAAUGAUAUAUAAACAACUGAACGCCAUAUGUCCCAAACACCCGUCAUUCCCUGUUCGAUUAAACACCAAAAAUAAAGUAAAUAUAAUACAAUACGACAUUUUAUGCGUUACAUUGUUAUGUACUUUUCAGGAUUUUCACAAUAACUAACAAUCUUUACGUUUAAUAUUGUGCAUUAAUUAUCAUAUUUUACAGUAACAUUUGAAAUAACUAUACAACAUGUAAGCUAUACUAGCAAAAUUUAAUAGAAAGAACGAUAGCUUUUGAUAAAAGGAAGUUAUAAGAGGGGAUUAAAUAUGUUAAAAUGCUAUUUUCAACACUGCACAUUUUGCUUUCCAAUCGUUUAUUUCAUUAUUUGACCGUAUAUGAUGAAGAUUAUUCGGAAAAUCGCGCACACAACAAUUUUAUCAUAUAUUGUCAUAUACUUUAAGUGAACAUAUAAAUCCCUAUCAGAAUGAAAAUAUUCAAGAUACUGUGCGCCAUAUUGGUGAUGCUAAUGGCAAUUUUAGUAGAAACAGCAAGUGGAUUACCACUUUGGGGACGGUAUGAAAAUAACAGGAUAAAAAAAUAUGCUAAUGACAACACUUUGGAAAUGGCCGUAGGAUAACUGGUAAUGACAAAACAAAAGAAUUGAUAAUACAUAUAGAGUUUUAUAAUAAUAAUAAUAAUAAUAAUAAUAAUAAUAAUAAUAAUAAUAAUAAUAAUAAUAAUAAUAAUAAUAAUAAUUAUAAUAAUAACAACAACAACAAUUAUAAUAAUAAGAAGAAUAAUUAUUAUUUAUCAUUUAGGUAAACCUUUGCAAUAUGAAAAUUAUCAAGAUUCUGUGUGCGAUAUGCAUGAUGCUAUUAUCAGUUUUAGCAGUAACAGCUAGUGGAAAGCCUCCUCGCGGAAGACUUGAAUUUAACAGAGUAAAAAGAGAUGCCAUUGACAACACUUUGAAUAGAAUGGUGAGAUAACUGGUAAUAACAAUCAAAAAGAUUAUUUUAUAGAGUUUUUAAAUUACAACAACAACAACAACAACAAUAAUAAUGAUAAUAAUAAUAAUUUUAUUAUUAUUAUAGAUUAUCUUUGAUCAUCUCAACGAGAUUGAUUUUCUCGCUUGAGCCGGGACGGUUGAGAUGAUCAAUGAUAAUCAUUUUACCGCUGUUUUACAUAUGUCGACGUUGUCUAUUUCACGUCAAUUUCAUUAGCAACUCCACGUGCCUCCUUAGUUUCUAGCGAUAACUUUCCAUCUCAAGCGAGUAGCAUAAUAUGAAAAAUUAUUACAAAACAAGAUAAAAGGGAAAAUGCACAAAAUAGCGAUAAUAAUAAUAAUAAUAAAAAAAAAAUAAUAAAAAUAAAAGUAAUGAUAAUAAUAAUAAAAAAAUAAUGUAAAUUGUAAUUUUUCAGGUGGGAAGAGAUUAGUGGAUUCGUGACACCACACACUGGAUCUUUCAUCAUUGAAGCUGAACUAUAUAUGUUUUGAAUUAAAGUUGGUCUCUGUAUUAGU
This 1513-nucleotide long non-coding RNA is filed under the name Mytilus galloprovincialis (Mediterranean mussel). The record is from RNAcentral. Lineage: Eukaryota; Metazoa; Mollusca; Bivalvia; Mytilida; Mytilidae.